CUGGGCAGUGGUGGGAAUGCUCGGAAUGUAUUCGGUUUUUAAAAAGCAGGAAGCAAAGCUUUGCGGUGGAUCCUGACUUCACUUGGGGGAAAAGGGCAGGUGAGCCUGGGAAAAUGAUCGAGCUAUAAGCCAAAGUGACACACUGGCAACUAUAUAUGUACUUUUUUUUUUUUUUUUUAAGACAGGGUCUCACUUUGUACCCCAGGCCAGAGUGUGGCAGCCUGUAACUCCUGGGCCCAAGCGAUCCUCUUCUCUCUCAGCCUCCCAAAGCACUGGAAUUACAGGUCCUGGCAGGAGCUCUGGUAUCUGGGAAGCUGGAUGGAGAGCCUGGAUUGGAGCCCACCCUCUGCAACCUAGCUUUGUGACCUUGGCAAAUCCAUUCUAUGCACCUCUGUUUCCUGUACAGUGGGGACCUGAUUUAUCUGGCAACCUCCACCAGAUUGGUAUUUUUUCUGUAAAGCCCAGUACCAUUUUAUUUGAUUUUAUUUUUAUUUAUUUAUUUAUUUAUUGAGACAGAGUUUCGCUCUUGUUACCCAGGCUGGAGUGAAAUGGCGCGAUCUCGGCUCACAGCAACCUCCGCCUCCUGGGUUCAGGCAAUUCUCCUCCCUCAGCCUCCUGAGUAGCUGGGACUACAGGCAUGUGCCACCAUGCCCAGCUAAUUUUUUGUAUUUUUAGUAGAGAUGGGGUUUCACCAUGUUGACCAGGAUGGUCUCAAUCUCUUGACCUCGUGAUCCACCUGCCUCGGCCUCCCAAAGUGCUGGGAUUACAGGUGUGAGCCACCGCGCCCAGCCUAUUUUUAUUUUUUGAGACAAAGUCUCAUUCUGUUGCCAGGCUGGAGUGCAAUAGAGUGAUCUCAGCUCACUGCAACCUCCACCUCCCAGGUUCAAGGCAUUCCCCUGCCUCAGCUUACUGAGUAGUGGGACUACAGACAUGCACCACCACCACAUCUGGCUAAUUUUUUUUGUAUUUUUAGUAGAUACAGGGUUUCACGAUGUUGUCCAGGCUGGUCUCGAACCUCUGACCUCAGGUGCUCCACCCACCUUGGCCUCCCAAAGUGCUGGGAUUACAGGCAUGAGUCACCACACCUGGCCCAUUUUACUUUGUUAAUUUAUUUUUUUUAGAUAGGGCCUCACUGUUGCCCAGGCUGGAAUGCAGUGUCGAGAUCAUAGCUCACUGCAGCCUCAAAUUCCUGGGCUCAGACUAUCCUCCUGCCUCAGGCUCUCGAGUCGCUGGGACUAUAAGCAUACACCACUGUCCCUGGCUCCAGUACUGUGUUUAAACAGUGCUCAGGCCGGGCACGGUGGCUCAUGCCUAUAAUCCCAGCACUUUGGGAGGCCGAGGCGGGUGGAUCACGAGGUCAAGAGAUUGAGACCAUCCUGGUCAACGAGGUCUCUACUAAAAAUACAAAAAUUAGCUGGGCAUAGUGGUGCACACCUGUAGUCCCAGCUACUCGGGAGGCUGAGGCAGGAGAGUUGCUUGAACCCAGAAGGCGGAGGUUGCGGUGAGCCGAGAUCGCGCCAUUGCACUCCAGCCUGGGUAACAAGAGCGAAACUCCAUCUCAAAAAAAAAAAAAAAAAAUGCAACAAUGCUCAGAAAACUUGCUAAAUUUGUUGGUUGGGAAUUGACAAGAGAUUUAAUGGGUUUUUUUUUUGUCUGUUUGUUUUUUGAGAUGGAGUUUUGCUCUUGUUGCCCAGGCUGGAGUGCAGUGGCGAAAUCUUGGCUCACCGCAACCCCGGAUUCCCAGGUUCAAGGCAUUCUCUCACCUCAGCCUCCUGAGUAGUUGGGAUUACAGGCAUGCACCACCAUGCCUGGCUAAUUUUGUAUUUUUAGUAGAGAUGGGAUUUCUCCACCUCGAUCAGGCUUG
Molecule: long non-coding RNA, 1864 nt
Filed under: Callithrix jacchus (white-tufted-ear marmoset)
Lineage: Eukaryota; Metazoa; Chordata; Mammalia; Primates; Cebidae
Description: lncRNA (ENSCJAG00000081390.1)
Source: RNAcentral